GACGAACGCUGGCGGCGUGCUUAACACAUGCAAGUCGAACGGACAGGCCCUGCUUUUGUGGGGUGCUCGAGUGGCGAACGGGUGAGUAACACGUGAGUAACCUGCUCUUGACUUUGGGAUAACUUCAGGAAACUGGGGCUAAUACCGGAUAGGAGCUCCUGCUGCAUGGUGGGGGUUGGAAAGUUUCGGCGGUUGGGGAUGGACUCGCGGCUUAUCAGCUUGUUGGUGGGGUAGUGGCUUACCAAGGCUUUGACGGGUAGCCGGCCUGAGAGGGUGACCGGCCACAUUGGGACUGAGGUACGGCCCAGACGCCUACGGGAGGCAGCAGGGGGGAAUAUUGCACAAUGGGCGGAAGCCUGAUGCAGCAACGCCGCGUGCGGGAUGACGGCCUUCGGGUUGUAAACCGCUUUCGCCUGUGACGAAGCGUGAGUGACGGUAAUGGGUAAAGAAGCACCGGCUAACUACGUG
This 468-nucleotide ribosomal RNA is filed under the name uncultured bacterium. RNAcentral describes it as "partial 16S ribosomal RNA". It matches the Rfam family "Bacterial small subunit ribosomal RNA", at positions 28 to 507 of the family's 1533-position model. The record is from RNAcentral.